Molecule: long non-coding RNA, 584 nt
Organism: Sander lucioperca (pikeperch)
Lineage: Eukaryota; Metazoa; Chordata; Actinopteri; Perciformes; Percidae
Exons: 3
Source: RefSeq, a predicted model, not a curated record
ACCACUGCUGUAUCUCGUGUAUCAGAAUCAGUUUAAUUGGCCAAGUAUACUCACAUACACAAGGAAUUUGACUUCGGUAGGUGUUAACUCUCUAUACAUUCAACAAAUAGACAUGUAGUAGUAAACAUUCAGUAGACAAAUAGUAAUAUAGACACAUACUGUACAAUAGAGACAACAAUAUACAUAUAGGCACCUAUCAGCAUAAUAUACAACAAUACAAAUAUCCAAAUAAGACAUCAUAUCAAGACAAGUACACAUGGAGUGGGAUAUAAGGUGCAAAAAGUAAUAAUGUAAAGUAGUAAUAGUGCAAAGUAGUGUGCAAGUUGCAUAUUGGAAUGAUAAGUAUGUAAUGUGUAGAGAAGUGGGUGAGUGGCCAAACUGGGGAUCAAGUGUUCAGAAGAGGGAUGGCAGUGGGAAAGAAGCUGUUCUUAUGUCUGGUUGUUUUUCUGCAUAGGGAUCUGUAGCGCCUGCCAGAGGGGAGGAUGUUAAAGAGUGUGUGUGCAGGAUGUGUUGGGUCUUUGGUGAUGUUCUCUGCCCGCUUCCUGGUCCUACCAGUGUACAAGUCCUGGAGGGAGGGCAGGGGG